CCCUUAGAUGUCCUGGGCCGCCCGCGCGCUACACUGACAUGUUCAACAAGUUUCUCCUAGUUCGACAGGACUGGGAAAUCUUUGAACGCAUGUCGUGAUAGGGAUAGAUCAUUGCAAUUAUUGAUCUUGAACGAGGAAUUCCUAGUAAACGCGAGUCAUCAGCUCGCAUUGAUUACGUCCCUGCCCUUUGUACACACCGCCCGUCGCACCUACCGAUUGAAUGUUUCGGUGAAGAUUCCGGAUAGGACUGAUUUGAUUUAUUUCAUUUCUGACCUAAAAGCUAUCUAAACCUCAACAUUUAGAGGAAGGUGAAGUCGUAACA
RNAcentral lists this ribosomal RNA (322 nucleotides) under uncultured eukaryote. Its description in RNAcentral is "partial 18S ribosomal RNA". It matches the Rfam family "Eukaryotic small subunit ribosomal RNA", at positions 1470 to 1796 of the family's 1831-position model. The record is from RNAcentral.